CACAACAGCGUGGCUGCAGAAGCCCUGUCAUUGGAGCUGUCGUCGUUGUCUCCCCACAGCGAGAGAGCUUUUGCAAGUUUAAUCUCAUCACGGAGAAAGCUUUCAAAGACUUCAAAGGAAGUAUUUGGUGCUCAGCUUUUCCUUCCACCCAGUGAAGAAUGUGCCUGCAGUGCUUGUAACAAAACAGUCUGGCCGGUGCCAUUCAGAUCCUAACUUCGUAUAAAAGCCGUGCCUCGGAGGAAACUUCCAGUAACCGUCCACUGAUUCAAGAGAGACGCUCAACAAGAACAAUUUGGUUGAGCAUCUCGGCCAGAUGCUGAAUUCUUAGUGGCUGAUUCCCCUGGGAUUUAGGUCCUUCCCCUGCCUUCUGCAUCUGUCCUUCCCUGAGAGAACACCAUCCCUGCUCAGUGACCAAGGUCUACCCGGCACGGAGCCCUCAGAUAAUGUCUGCUAAACGUCUCCUUGAAGAGUGUGAUGUUGGAGGUGAACCCAGCAUCUGGGAGGCUGAGGCGUGUGACUCAUUAAAAUGGAGCCACGUGGCGGUGGCCCGUGAACCAGGACUGAAAUAGCUCCUUGCUCUGCUGACUCUCUUUAUCCUUCCCCUGGUGUGUUCCGGCUGGCAGCCCUCACCAUAUGCCAGCCAGCAGGUCAGUUACACGGAUGUCCAAAAACCUGGGUUUUGAGCAAUGUACAUGCUAUGUGUGCAUAUCUAUACGCGCAGGUGACAAAGGCAACCAGCCACAGGCGGUCCUCAUUGCUGGUUCUCCCGGUGACCCAGGUACACGUCCCUGAGUUUCAUCCCUUCCUGUUGAGAAUUUAGUCAGGAGGUGACAUUCACCAGACUGAACACAGCGACUGUGGCUUUUUGAAAGGGCAGCUCCAAGUCCAGACGGAACCACAGAACAGGACCAAAAAACGUGAUUAAAGAAGAUGGAGUCUCGCUCUGUCACCCAGGCUGGAGUGCAGUGGCACGAUCUCAGCUCACU
Molecule: long non-coding RNA, 986 nt
Organism: Piliocolobus tephrosceles (Ugandan red Colobus)
Lineage: Eukaryota; Metazoa; Chordata; Mammalia; Primates; Cercopithecidae
Exons: 3
Source: RefSeq, a predicted model, not a curated record